AGAGCGCCUCCGCGGUGGGACGGAGCCGGACUGGGCCGAGCGAGGGAGGCUCCUGAGCCUCGGAGGACCCCGGGGUUGGCUUUGGGAGCUGAAAGUUUCCUUGGACCCCUCGGAAGCCCCGUGACAUCAGAGGCCGGGCCUGGCAGGGGCAGGCAGGAAACGUGUCUGGAGGCUACUGCCCUCUCCGCGUGACCUUGGGCGAGCAGCCUCCUCCUGGGGCUCAGUGGGUGUGAUUUUGUAACAUUUCCCAGCGCUGCCACAGGCGCGUCUCGCCCUGUCCAACGCGGAGCCCGAAGAAUUACUAAGAAACCGAGGUCUGAAGGAGGGAAGAGGUGACGGGCUCGAGGCCACACGGUGGGCCAGGCUGGGCCCGGCUGCACGCCGGCUACCGGGGCCCAGCCCUCUGCACGCCUCCCGCAGCCUCAGUUUCCCUGUCCGUGGUACUGAGGAUGCUCGGGCCUAGAAGUUCAGGGCUGGAGGCCCAGGGACCGUCGAGGGAGGGGCAUCAUCCCCGCCAUGGGGCCGCCGCAACUGCCCAGAGCACAGGCCAAAGGUGCGUGCCACGGGGCUACUGGCGUUGUGGACGCUGCCCCUGCCUCCCCAUCCCCCGCAGGAAACAGCCUUGUGACCGUGACUAACGCACCUUUGCCGGGGUAGAGGGGCAAGGGCCCCUGCUACCGUUUGCCACACACUGCCCCAUGUCCCUCACUGCUCCCGUCCUUCCUAGAAGUGAGGUGCUGAUACAUAUAAAAAUUAUGGAUCCCAUUUUAUGGGACAUGAGCUGAAACAGGAGGUUUCCUGGGCUGCCAGGGGCUUAGGAAAUCCAGUGCCUGAUACACAGGAAAUGCUUCUAUGUGGGGAGUUCACAGUCUUCCAGAAGCAAAAAUGUUUUUUGGUUUUUUUUUUGAGACGGAGUCUUGCUCAGUCGCCCAGGCUGGAGUGCAGUGGCACGAUCUCGGCUCACUGCAACCUCCGCCUCCCGGGUUCACGCCAUUCUGCUGCCUCAGCCUCCCG
RNAcentral lists this long non-coding RNA (1014 nucleotides) under Homo sapiens (human). RNAcentral describes it as "non-protein coding lnc-TCIRG1-2:10". Lineage: Eukaryota; Metazoa; Chordata; Mammalia; Primates; Hominidae. The record is from RNAcentral.